UGCCAGCCGCCGCGGUAAGACGGAGGGUGCGACCGUUGUUCGGAAUUACUGGGCAUAAAGAGCGCGUAGGCGGUCCAUUAAGUCAGGUGUGAAAUCCCCCGGCUCAACCGGGGAACUGCAUCUGAUACUGAUGGACUUGAGGAUGGUAGGGGUGAGCGGAACUCCAGGUGGAGCGGUGAAAUGCGUAGAUAUCUGGAGGAACACCGGUGGCGAAAGCGGCUCACUGGACCAUCUCUGACGCUGAGGUGCGAAAGCUAGGGUAGCAAACGGGAUUAGAUA
Molecule: ribosomal RNA, 279 nt
Filed under: uncultured bacterium
Lineage: Bacteria
Description: partial 16S ribosomal RNA
Rfam family: Bacterial small subunit ribosomal RNA
Source: RNAcentral